UAGAAUUUAAAUCAAGGAAAAUUAGAAUAUACGACGUUGUAUCACAUACGGUAUUUAGACAUCAAGAAAAGAAUCCCUCUAUCUGUGAACCACACUUGCCAGGAAAUUAACACCAGGGGAAUACCACCACCUCAUACUAUUUCUUAGGUGUCUCAGAGUUUGAUGAGGACUUCCAUGCUGUGUCUCUUCGACAGGCAGCAAAAUUGGGCAAUUGACUACAUCAACUCCAACAAAUUUAUGCAGCCACCUUCCUCCGGACCAUCCUGUUUCUUCGCGCUUUAGUUGCCCCUAUUUCCCAUUAUCUUGUUUGACGCCAAGGAGCCCAAGCCCAGAAACAAUGGCAUUCUUUGGUAUCAACCACCUGGAGACUUUGGUAUCAAGCCUGUUGUGCAAGGCUUCUUCAAAAGGUCAUCCGUUGAUCUUUCUCCUAAUUAGACAUUCAAAACCCUGCAUGGAAUCCAUUUGAGAAGUUGGACAAUAGACAAAGUCCAACACAUAUAGACAGUAAAGAAGAAUUCAGACCGCACUCACUGUGGCUGAACAAAUGGGCCUAUUAAGCCUAUUAAAAGUUGGAACCAUAUUCACCACUCGCAUUUCCUUAGAGAACUAUAUCAGAAUUCUGUAAAUUGAAAACUAUUCUUACAUAUUUAACUGUAAAACAAGAGAAAUUAUACUUCCGUAGCAAAGUCUCACUAUUGGUAAGUAUCUGGACUUGGAAAGGAUGCUAGUUGAUCAAGUAAAGGAAAAUUGACAUCAGACUUUGAUGUGAUAGAUAUAUACACUUCAAUAGGAACCACAUUAACAACUUAUGAGACAAACAAACAAAUUCCCCAGUCAAAGUUCAACAAACAAAACAUUAAAACAAGAGUAGGUUGGUCUAUCAAUGUAUAUAUAGAGAUGUCGAUCAAUUGACAAAUACAUCAAGAGUAGGUUGGUCUAUCAAUGUAUAUAUAGAGAUGUCGAUCAAUUGACAAAUACAUCAAGAGUAGGUUGGUCUAUCAAUGUAUAUAUAGAGAUGUCGAUCAAUUGACAAAUACAUCAAGAGUAGGUUGGUCUAUCAAUGUAUAUAUAGAGAUGUCGAUCAAUUGACAAAUACAUCAAGAGUAGGUUGGUCUAUCAAUGUAUAUAUAGAGAUGUCGAUCAAUUGACAAAUACAUCAAGAGUAGGUUGGUCUAUCAAUGUAUAUAUAGAGAUGGCGAAGAAUCUUGCAUCUUAUCAAGUGGGGAAAGCCUUCGCAACAAAGAUGCUGCUUGCUUUCAAGCAAUAAUAAUUUUCCAAUUCCAUAAGGUAGCUUAAUGCCUUUUAAGAAUAUCUGCACCAGCCUAACAAUUAAUCAUGGAAAUUCAAUUUGCAUUUAUCACCUUUAAUUUGCUCAUCUUUGUCUCGAGUAUUGUUUUUGCGUUAACUUAACUAGCUUGCAAACCACCUGCAAAUGGUUUUAAAUAAUGUGUGAGAUUGUGAGGUCGAACGAAUUAAUCAAAUAUGAUGACAGGAGAAACAAAAUUGAAAUAACCACAAGUAGAAGUAUACUUUUGUUAUAUUUAUAGCAUCUUCUACUGUCUUCUUUUCCUUUAGCUCUGUUUCUGUGUUUGCUCAAUCGCGAUGCCUCAAUCUUUUGCAGCCAUAUGCAGACUUGAAACACCGGGGUGUCCCUAAGGAACUUGAAAAUUAGAAAAGUUUCAGUAUGAGUGACUAAAUAUGAUAAUCGAAACUAAUUUAAUAUACACACCUUGUAAAUCUGAAACUAAAUUACUCAAAUGUAUAUGCCUCUUGGCAGCAAUUGCUCGUGGUGGAAAGUUUACUGCAAAGACUUCCUCAAACCUGUGAAGCUCACACACUUCCUGGCAACAAAGAAACAGAGUCAAUAUACGAAGAUGAUUUUACUAACAAGUGAGAGCUUGCAAAUAUUGGAAGGAUAACGAUUACUCAUAACCCAAAUACCCAAUACCUUCUAAUAUCUCACUCACGUGAGUUCAAGCUCCCAAAAUUCAUUACAGUGAAACUCUCACAACAUAAUUGUCUUCAAAUAUUCUCUACUCAACGAAUUAAUUAAAUAUGAUGACAGGAGAAACAAAAUUAAAAUAACCACAAGAAGUAGAAAUAUACUUUUGUUAUAUUCAGAGCAUCUCCUACUGUCUUCAUUUCCCUUAGCUCUGUUUCCUUUUGUGCUCGAACGCAAUGCCUCAAGGCUCAAGAUAAUUUGAUGACCAUCAAUCUUUUUGCAGCCACAUGUAGACUUGAAAAACUGUUGGCGGCCCUAAAGAACUUGAAAAUUAGAAAAGAUUCAGAAUGAGUGACUAAAUAUUAUAAUCGAAACUAAUUAAACAAACGCGCCUUGAAAAUCUGAAACUGAAUUACUCAAAUGUAUAUGCCCCUUCACAGCAAUUGCACGUGGUGGAUGUUGAGGUUGAUGUGGAAAGGACGUGGCUCCCGCGUAAAACCCACCGCUUCGUUCUAAACUAAGUGACUUUAUGUCGUGAGUUAAGUAGUUUAGGAGAUAACUCAAAUAAUUAAUUUUUUAUUAGUUCAGUAAUAAGAAUUUUCGAUUUUAUUUUAAAAGUAUAAUUCAUUACAAAAAAAAAUACUUAAUAAAAAUAACUGUUAUUGUUAUUGAACAUAUUACAUUUUUUCAAUAAUAAAAUAAUUCAAAAUUUUAAUUAUUAUAACAAUAAAAUUUGUAAUAUAAUCCAUUCAUAUACUACAUACAUCACAUAAAAUAUAAACUAGUACUAAGUAUAAUCAUGUUAUAACUAUUCUUAUAAUAUUCUAUUAAUCAUGUUAUAACUAUUCUUAUAAUAUUCUAUUACUAUCAUAUACUGUCAUUUUCCAUCCGGCAUGUCGAACGUGUAAAGUUUGAGUAAGAUUUAUUAAAGUUGAGUAACAUCUUGUAUGGUCAACGCGUCGAGUGUGGACUUGCAUGAUCGAGUCAGUACAACUAAAGUCGGGUAGAGUUUGGUAAAUCUCUAUAUUGUGUUGAGGUUGGACAACUAUACCUUUUAAGCUACAUAAUUAAACAAUUUAAGUAAAUAUUUGCUAUUUUGACUUAAAAUUUAAUUUGAUUUGAUCUCAUACUUUAUUAUUAAAAAACUUAUAAUAUUAAAUAUUAUAAUCGAAACUAAUUAAACAAACGCGCCUUGAAAAUCUGAAACUGAAUUACUCAAAUGUAUAUGCCCCUUCACAGCAAUUGCACGUGGUGGA
RNAcentral lists this long non-coding RNA (3198 nucleotides) under Citrus sinensis (sweet orange). Its description in RNAcentral is "long non-coding RNA (CSIN_LNC005250)". Lineage: Eukaryota; Viridiplantae; Streptophyta; Magnoliopsida; Sapindales; Rutaceae. The record is from RNAcentral.